Osmia lignaria (orchard mason bee) is the source of this 5164-nucleotide long non-coding RNA. RefSeq lists it as uncharacterized. The record is from RefSeq and is a predicted model, not a curated record. Lineage: Eukaryota; Metazoa; Arthropoda; Insecta; Hymenoptera; Megachilidae.
UUUCACGAGGAGCAAUGUACACUUUGUCGGUCGCGAAGCAAACGUGUCUUCCGGUCUCGCCCUUCGCGUUUAUUAUACACCAACGGCCUCCGACGCGAUCCAAUCUUUUUGCAUCCGCGACGGUGCGCCAAUUCGAUCGACUGGGCGUUCCGGUUCUAUGCGCGCCUCUUCUCGACUUUUCAUCGUUUUACGAUCGCUCGAUGAUCUCGAUCCUCUCCGCAGGCAAUCGUGUUCGCGUGCCUUUUUGCUCGACUCCACGGGGAACGCUGCGGUUUCCCCGGCACAGACGCUGUUUCAUCGAUUCUAAUUCCUCCGCGUAGCGAUUUUUUCAUCGGCCAGUAACCGCGGACGUAUUCCUUUUUCCACGACGACGAAAUUGUUUGUUGCUUCGCCGGAUAUUUGCGUAACGCGGCUGGAUCGACGGUAUACGCAUGUUUGACGAAGAACAGAUGGGUUCUUUCCUCUUCGAAAAGCAACGUCUUUACACGAAAACGAUAGAAACUUAGUAUGUAGUAUACGAAGGCGACAAUUUCACGCGUUAGCGACUAGAGAACGUGAUUAGUUCUUCAGAAAAAAAAGGAAACUCAUUCCGGGAACUUUCCAUAGAAACCGCACACCCGUCGCGACGCGUCGAACGUCUUGCGUCCUCGUAACUGCGAAUUAAUAGUCGCAACGAUUUCAUUAGCGAUCGAGCGUAUAAUUGGCGCGCGUUUCUGAGAAUCAUGAUACCCGCUCGCGACUUUAUCUUCUAUCGUUGCGUUGUGGCGCGCAACGAAAGGUGGAAUGGAAGCGUACUAAUUGAAUCUAGCGGCGUUAUAAAAUCGCGCUAAAAUUCUGAGACGGUCGUUUUCGUUGUCUCGAUUAAUGUCUGUCGUAAAUAUAUAGGCGUACUUCUAUCCUAGCUACUGGACAGCCGUAUGCAGAAGCAUCGCCGAGUCACGUUCGCGCUCGAUGCACCUGUGUAAACGCGAACCGGCCGGCGGGAAUUAUUAUCGCAGCGUUAACUCGUCCGUUCGCGGCAAGUUACCAGCAUUACGCAAAAUUAAUUUUCGCGAAACGGGCUACGAGCAAUUUUAGGAAAAAUGCUAUGUAAAAUAGUUAAACUCAUCAGCGGAUGAGUUCGCGAUCAGCGAAAUGCAGCGUUAAAUCGAAUAGUGAAAAACCAAGUAAGUUUAAUUUUAAUUAAACGCGAAAUCGCAAUUGGGCGUGAAAUUCUGACUUGAAAAAUUAUCAUUCAUUAUUACACGAAAAUCGUCCACGUCUCGAUCGUUUUCCGCUUAUCGCGCAAAUCUUACUCGCGUUUCAAUUAAACCUCCCAUUGAUCAAUUAAAAAGCUCGUUCGUUUCGGCUUGUUCGCAUUUAAUUACGCGGCCUGCAGACGCACAUACGGAGGGAUAAUAAAAAGAAAAAGUCGAGCGGAUCGAACGGUGGCGAUAACAAAGUGUUCCCUGGAAAGUGGAAAUAGCGACAGGUGCGUUUAAUCUGCACGGUGAAAGGGAUUGGUCUACGUCGGAGGCUGCAAAAAAGUUCGCACGCGUUAAUCCGUGCCGAGACCGCGGAUAAUAGAGGCCGUCCGCAAGAAAGCCGGGGUGCUUUGCUCGUUGGCUAUUAAUUAGCCGCUCGAGAAAAUCCAUUGAUCGUUACGCACGUACGCACUUUACGUUCGCCAGAAGGAUGAUUGGAAUAUCAGCCGAUCCGCGGAAUAUUUUGGCCUUCCCUCGCCUAAUGAAUCGGAGAUCGCACGUGGGGCUGGUGGUGGCGCGCGCGAAACCGGGAAUUCAACGUCAGAAUUCAUGAAUUAAAACGACUGUAUUAUACGCGGUUACGUCACGGCACGAUUUCGAAAGUUUUUCUAUUUUUUUUUUUUUUCUUUAGGGAACGUCGAAUCUGUUGAAGGUGCGUUUAAAGCACCUGCCGACUCUAUCCGAGAUACUUGAAUUUGUCAUCAAGGUCUCGCGACGUCAGACGGAUCGGAUUCGGUCGGCGUGAAGAGAGAACCGAGCGAAACGAAAGGCUGGAAAGGAGAUGCAUACAACCGGUAAACACAACGCAAGACGACCAGCUUAACGGCUGUGAGCUGAUCUAUCUCGCUAAACGCUACGCAUCAUCGAAACGGGCGAUCGAGGUACUCUUGGAGGACCACGGAUGACGCGUACGAAAAUGGACGAAGCACGCGGAUGGAAGGGUAUAUGGGAAGGUAUACGAGAGAGAAGAGAUUUCCUACGAAGCACUGACCAGUGGUCGCAACGAAGAAGCCAGUCGGCCUCGAUUAGAGUCACGGAAUAAAUUUCUGCGGAGUGUGGGAGCGAACCGGUCGAGGUCCUCGUCUCUAAUUGACCCCACUUUACUGCGAAACUCAGGCGACUACGCGGGCAGAUUUCAGUCCGCACGCGGGCAUGCCUAGAUUUUCGCUGAUUACACGCGCUUCCGUGAUAGGAAAACCACCUGGUGAGUUUGCGCUUCCAUAUAAAAAUUAUUCCUUCUGCUACACGUAACAUUUUAAAUUUGUUAUUAACCCCUUCGCCUAUGAUUUUUUCGAUAGUUGUGUCAGUCAGUGAUAAUUAUUCAUUGCUACAAUUUUAAAACGAAUAAAGAAAAAUGAAAUAUCCUUGAUUGGGCAAGUUAUAAUUAGAAUUUAUCUUAAAAUUCGAUUAUAUUAAAAGUACCAGUCAAGUUAGACAAAUUUGAAUUGUAAAUUGUUGUAGGGCAAGGGGUUAAUUAUUAAUGUAAUCAAUCAAACUAUGAUAACUAUCCAGAAAUAAAGUAAUCGAGGAUCCUAUUCACCUCGGUCAGGUUUGAACCGAAUACUCGGAAGUGCAAGUACGCGAUGAAACUGUGUCGCAUUCUAAAACAAGAGAAUUUAAUAUAUUCGGGUACGUCAUUUUCCACCCCCCAUUUCCUUGGACUUGGCGAAUUGUCGUAGAUACAUCUGAAAAUAGGCUUCCCGGAAUAGCGAAGAAUUUAGACCACCAACGCGCAGCUCUCGUCUCAAUUAACGCUUAAAGACUCGUCCACACGGAACCACCACCCACUACGCAUCUCGACACGCUGUGUUUGUUCGUAACAAGAGUCGGGCUUGUUAUCUUAUAAGAGCUACCCGACGAUACCGAUCUUGAUUCAUACGUCGUCCGUGCUACGACGACGAAAUCGAGCCUGGUGCUCGUAAAUCACGCGAACAUGCCGCUUACCUUUCACGAUGGAAGGCAAGUGUUUUCGGUUAUAAGUGAAACUCGACUUUAAUUUUCCCUGCAGAUUGAAUAUUCUCACGACUUCCAGACGAUUAACUAUAGAAAUAUGGAACUUCAUACGUAAUCAUUCAUUUCUAAUGCUUAUUUUUUGAAAUUACUUCCUCCAUUUAUAAAGAAAUAAGAAAUUUUCAAUAUUUUCUGAUUAUUAACUUGGACGAGCUAUCAUUUAUGAUUAGUAAAAUUAAUUAGACAAGGAAAUUUCUCGAGCUUUUCUAGACAUCGAUAGCAGUGAAAGGGUUGAAGGAUUUUAAGUGGCACCGUAUAUUCUCUCCAACUUCCCGAAUUCCAACGUGCAAUUCUCGGUAAAAGAAAAACGACGAGAUAUCACGGGUCGUAGGUAAGCGAUCGUUCACGGGAAUCUGUGCAAUUACAAUUUUUCCCGGGUAAAUCGCGCGCGUAUUUCUCUGCUUGGGGUCGCAGUUAUAAUUUUUCGAUAAACAGGCGUGUGGGAUAAGUAAUGGUUAUCGAUCUUUCCCCACCGUUUCUCAGCGACUUUCGUACAGAUCGCGUGGGAGUGUAAGGAUGUAACGAGCAUCAGAUAAUAACGAAACGUGUAUGCACCCGAUUGACCACUGAAUCAACCACGGUUGCUUACUAUUUCACGGCUUACGGGUUAUGAGCGCAAGGAUUAUUGUUACCAUUAUCGUUGGACCACCUGCGUGGCCAGCGGAGGAAGCCGCUUUCUCAUGUGAACGUGCCGCUCCAGCAGCAAUAAGGAAGAGAUUUUAUUCUUUUCGGUAAAUGAAAACCCGCGGCACCUUUCGUUAUUCCCCGCGGAACGCUGCGAAACGGAUGCGAAUUACGCCUUUUCAAGUUUUUAACCCUUUCGUUAUGGUAAUAAGUUCGCCUGGAUAUCGCAUCAUUUCGUCUAUCGUAAAUUUGUUUUAUUACACAAACGAUGCUUAAAUUUGCAUAAUCCAUCGUUUAUAUUACAAGGAAUUUUCUUAUUUACCUAAUUACAAAUGUCAGUAUUAAUUGCUUGGAUUAUGAAUAAUAAAAAUAACGAUGUACUUGGAAAAUAAUGAACAAAAAUUUCUUGAAAACGUGUCUGAUCAUAGUCAUCCUUAACCCUUUGCAUCAUGAUUUUCCUAGCUGACGAUGAUCAGACUAUUAACUAUUAACGUCGCUGGAACGUUCAAUAUCGUUUAGAUUAACUGAAAAUUGUCGGGACGAGGAGCGUUCAGUGGAUUCGAGCGACCACCAUACGCCCACACGUUGAAACCUCGUCGCAUCUUAAGUGGUAGCAAUGAAAAAUAAAAAGCACACGCUCGGACCAGCCAGCCAGUCGGCCAGCUCUGUGCUCCAUAGCCCGGUUGCAUUAUAAUUACUACAAAUUGAAUCGUUUAGCCGCUUUUAAGGUCGUGAGAUAGUGUCCGGGAAUGCGACGCUCGAAUAAAUCAAUUCACGGGUUGCUCGUGUAAAGGCCUUUCGCUCCUCGCUUACGACCGCGAUGGAAUCGUUUCAACUCUUUGCCGGACUCAAUUUCGUUUCUAAAUCAUUUGCAAACGGAAGAGAACUUUGAUUAGAAUAGAAACGAUGGGUGUAAACAUUGGGUGUCUAUAGCCGCUCUGUACUUGCAGUUUCAAUUUUUAUUUUAAUGUGAAAUUAAAAACGAGUUUAUUAAGAAAUUAUGAAUAUCUUCUUUUUCCUUCAAAAAGCAUCGUUAAAGCAACUUGUGUAGCAGUAAAACAUAGACGGAUUGUCUCGGCGAACAAGACUACUUGGAAUCCGUAGCAUUGCGUAAAAAUGUAUAACAAUUACUCCUAAAAGCGCAAGUAUCCCAUAAACAUAAGAAAUUCUUAUUUACGAACCCCUUUUCCCUAACGAACAAAAAUACGAUCCUCAUUCAUUCGGAUUAUCCUUAGCUAUUCGAGAGAAAAAGGACCCUUACGUUAAGGUCCGCUGCGUUCAUGAGU